CGAACGGGUGAGUAACACGUGAGGAACGUGCCCUUGACUUCGGUAUAGCUCCGGGAAACUGGUGGUAAUCCCGAAUAUGAGCCUGGCCUGCAUGGGUUGGGUUGGAAAGCUUUAUGCGGUCAGGGAUCGUCUCGCGGCCUAUCAGCUUGUUGGUGGGGUAAUGGCCUACCAAGGCAGCGACGGGUAGCCGGCCUGAGAGGGUGACCGGCCACAUUGGGACUGAGACACGGCCCAG
This 235-nucleotide ribosomal RNA is filed under the name uncultured bacterium. RNAcentral's name for it is "partial 16S ribosomal RNA". It matches the Rfam family "Bacterial small subunit ribosomal RNA", at positions 99 to 334 of the family's 1533-position model. The record is from RNAcentral.